RNAcentral lists this unclassified non-coding RNA (339 nucleotides) under soil metagenome. RNAcentral describes it as "partial contains 5.8S ribosomal RNA, internal transcribed spacer 2, and large subunit ribosomal RNA". The stretch from base 1 to 120 matches the Rfam family "5.8S ribosomal RNA", at positions 35 to 154 of the family's 154-position model. The record is from RNAcentral.
GAUGAAGAACGUAGUGAAAUGCGAUACGUAGUGUGAAUUGCAGAAUUCAGUGAAUCAUCGAAUCUUUGAACACACAUUGCACCUCUCGGUAUUCCGGGAGGUAUGCCUGUUCGAGCGUCAUUUGUACCCUCAAGCUCUGCUUGGUGUUGGGUGUUUGUUCCGCCUCUGUGUGUGAACUCGCCUCAAAACAAUUGGCAGCCGGCGUACUUGUUUCGGAGCGCAGCACAUUUUGCGAUCCAGAUCAACGUACAGCGGCAUCCAAGAAGCCUUAUUUAACGCUCUUGACCUCGGAUCAGGUAGGGAUACCCGCUGAACUUAAGCAUAUCAAUAAGCGGAGGA